Molecule: ribosomal RNA, 496 nt
Filed under: uncultured soil bacterium
Lineage: Bacteria
Description: bacterial SSU rRNA
Rfam family: Bacterial small subunit ribosomal RNA
Source: RNAcentral
AGAACGAACGCUGGCGGCGUGGAUAAGACAUGCAAGUCGAACGGGACAAUUGAUUAGCAAUAGUUGGUUGUUCAGUGGCGAACGGGUGCGUAACACGUGGGAAUCUGCCGAGGAGUGGGGGGAUAGCUCGCCGAAAGGCGAAUUAAUACCGCAUUAAAAGAGGGGGACCGCAAGGCCUCUCGCUUCUCGAUGAGCCCGCGGCCUAUCAGCUUGUUGGUGAGGUAACGGCUCACCAAGGCUAUGACGGGUAGCUGGUCUGAGAGGACGACCAGCCACACUGGGACUGAGACACGGCCCAGACACCUACGGGUGGCAGCAGUCGAGAAUUUUCACAAUGGGGGAAACCCUGAUGGAGCGACGCCGCGUGGAGGAUGAAGGCCUUCGGGUCGUAAACUCCUGUCAUCAUAGAACAAGAUAUACGUAAUAACCGAUGUAAUUGAUGUAUAUGGAGAGGAAGGACGGCUAACUCUGUGCCAGCAGCCGACGGUAAUCUAGA